CCUGGAUAACCUAGCAUCACCCAACAUCACAGGCAGCUGGGAGGCUGGACAGAGUACGGACUAGGCUCGACUGAGGUGAAAGCUUCUAGCAAGGCUGUAUCAGAAGUCAAGAGGCUGUUUAAAGAUGACCUGAGGAAUCUGCAAUGGCUGGCAGGACCAUAAGCUCAUCAUCAUCCAAGUAGACACUGUGGCCAGCUGCUUCAUCCGCCAGCCACCAAGCCUCCCCCUCCGUGAUGGAUUGGAGCCUAAAACGGUGUGAAGUAAGCCCCUCCUUCCAGAAAUUGUUUCAUUUAGAUCUUCUGUCACUGCGACAAGAGAAAUCCAUGCCUUCUUGGAAGCCUGUGGAGCCUGGAAACCACUCAGAUGUCAGGGCGACCAAUAGAAUUCUGAACAGAAAUAGCCAGUCACGGGAAACGAGCCCUACAACUCAACUGGGGACACUGGGUGUUGUCAUCAGCAGGGACAGAGCCCUGAGAUUCACUUUAAAGGUGGAGGCACAUCAACUGCUGAUGUCAGCCCUUAGCAGACCACUAAGGAAACACUGAGUGAGGACCCACAGCAAACUACUUUCUCCCAAGGCGAAAUGGCCGGGGGCAAAGCCUCCAUGGAACCUUAAUCUCAGCCCCCAAGCUUUGCAACCAUGCUGUAGAGAGGCCUGCUCUUGAACACCUGGGUGAAAAUUCUACUCUUUGGAAGCGA
Mesocricetus auratus (golden hamster) is the source of this 699-nucleotide long non-coding RNA. RefSeq lists it as uncharacterized. The record is from RefSeq and is a predicted model, not a curated record. Lineage: Eukaryota; Metazoa; Chordata; Mammalia; Rodentia; Cricetidae. The transcript has 5 exons.